GACGAACGCUGGCGGCGUGCCUAAUACAUGCAAGUCGAACGCUUCUUUUCCCACCGGAGCUUGCUCCACCGGGAAAAGAGGAGUGGCGAACGGGUGAGUAACACGUGGGUAACCUGCCCAUCAGAAGGGGAUAACACUUGGAAACAGGUGCUAAUACCGUAUAACAAUCGAAACCGCAUGGUUUCGUUUUGAAAGGCGCUUUACGGUGCCGCUGAUGGAUGGACCCGCGGUGCAUUAGCUAGUUGGUGAGGUAACGGCUCACCAAGGCUACGAGGAAUAGGCGACCGGGGAGGGGGAUCGGCCACAUUGGGACUGAGACACGGCCCAAACUCCUACGGGAGGCAGCAGUAGGGAAUCGUCGGCAAUGGACGAAAGUCUGACCGAGCAACGCCGCGUGAGUGAAGAAGGUUUUCGGAUCGUAAAACUCUGUUGUUAGAGAAGAACAAGGGUGAGAGUAACUGUUCACCCCUUGACGGUAUCUAACCAGAAAGCCACGGCUAACUACGUGCCAGCCGCCGCAGUAA
RNAcentral lists this ribosomal RNA (524 nucleotides) under uncultured bacterium. RNAcentral's name for it is "partial 16S ribosomal RNA". It matches the Rfam family "Bacterial small subunit ribosomal RNA", at positions 28 to 523 of the family's 1533-position model. The record is from RNAcentral.